Non-coding RNA from Anolis sagrei ordinatus, 2747 nucleotides. NCBI's taxonomy places the organism in Eukaryota, Metazoa, Chordata, Lepidosauria, Squamata, Anolidae. The record is from RefSeq and is a predicted model, not a curated record.
GCAUGCGUACUGAGCCGUGACGGUGUCAUACCCAAGACGCGCCAGCAGCGCCCCCUUGCGGGCGGAUGAGGGGAGGAUAAGCAGAAGGGACUGGAUUGAUUGUAGGCUUCCAAGUCCAAGGGUUGAAUGAAAAGCAAUUGGAUACAUUUCUGCCAACAAUGAACAAGUUUCUGAAGCUGUCACAGAAGAAGUCGACACUCUGUUUCCGCAACCAGCAUCUCACAGUUCUCUCAACGUCUUCAUCAGAAGCAUAAUGAUGUCCCCGCAGAUCUUCUUUCAUUAUCAGGAAUAGAUGGAAGUCAGACGGUGCUAAAUUUGGACUGGCCUUACGGUGCAGAUCAUAUAAUCUGAAUUGGGACGAGACCACCACUUUAAAUUUUGCCAUUUAUGUAUCACGUUGCUUUAACAGAGACAAGUACUAAUGCAAAGACUGAGAAGUAGGACUGCUGCUGGGAAGAUUAUGAAGAAGCGUCGAGCCCAUGCUGUUUGUAUCUCUUGUUUGUUUGGACUCGGGAGAAUGGCUGGGGUGCAUUAAUGAUCUAAAAUUACAGCCAAAGCUAUAAAUAGGGAAAUCUUGAAUCUAUAAUUGGAAUAAAAGAAGGGUCUCAUAAAUGAAAAAGAAAGAAACAAGGCUGUCGUGCAUUAUGUUAUAGGGAAAAUAUGUAAAAAAUAUUGUACAUUGGCUUCAUGCUAAAUUUAUGAGAUUUAUACUGUGCUGUGAAUUCAUUGAAUAUUAUGCAUGUUAUGAAGUCUAGCUAACCUGAAGUAUCUACAUGAAACAUGCAUAUGUAUGAUUGUGGCAGUUUCCAAAUUUUCCUCACACUCUAAUGCCUUUUUUUGUUUUUAAAACAGAUAAUGACCUAUUCUGUAUAGUUUGUUUGUUCUGCAGUCCACAAGUUGUUAAUUUAUAUUUUGUAUUUCAUUCAAGGUUACUUUUGCAGCCUGAGAUUGUGUUGGAAUACAAACUAUGUAUGCAAUGCUUAUGUACAUCCUUUCUAUUAGUAUUUAUUCAGAAAAUCCUUUGGGUUAAUGGAUUGGGUUUAUAGAAAUAUUAAGGAUGGAUUGAAAUAUGCUUAGGAUAUACCAACAGCACUAAAUUAUAAAGAGUGGUCUAUAAAUCACUUAAAGAGAUAAUUUAUUUUGCAAGUGACUUAAAAUAUUACUUGAUUAUUUGCUGAACUAUAUGAAAGGAAAUGUAAAGACUGUCAGCAUAUAUGUGAUUUUCAGUGCCGUGAAGGAAGCCCCUCUGUUACUGAAAAUGGAUGAAGCAUUUAUAACCUUAUAAAUAUAGAAACAUGUCCAGCCAUUUUCCCAUGUCUGUGUGUCAGAUAAAUGGCAGAGUGGCUUGACCUCAUUGUUUUUCUUAUCCAUUAUCUGUCAAACUAGUACAAUUGGCACAACACAAUUACAUCCUUCUUCCAAUAAGACAUAUAAUUUCGUGCUGAUAACAAAAUAAAUGAAUGCUCUCUUAUUAUCUUAUCUAAAACUACAGGAAAUACUGAUUAAAAUCUCUUUCAUUCCUCAACAGUAAAUUUUCUAUGCAUGAAAUAUUUUGGCAAGUUCCUGUACAAGUAAAAAAUAAAACAAGAACAGAGGAAAUAAUUUAUCAGCUUCUGAUAUUUCAAAUAAGCAGAUAAUAUAGAACAACGGAAAACAGAAUGGAAUAUAACACAAAAUAAAGAACAUUUUCAAAAUUCUGUAUUAAAAGUACUUUACACGCAGCAAAGAACAUAUCUAAUUCUAUUCUGAACAGAAAUUACUUCAUUAUGCUAAAAGCAGUGUUAUAAAAUGGAAUCAGUGAGUGUGCUAUGUUAGUCCAUGCAACAAAACCGGCAAAAAAAAUUGACAUCUUAAAAACUAACACGUACAUUAUGGCAAACCUUUGAGGACUAUAACAUGCAUCUGAUAAAAUGGGCAAUCGUCCAUGAAAGUUUAUAUUGUAUUAAUAAAUGGGUCAGUUUUUAAAGUGGCAUAAAAGUAUUUAUUGUUUGUACUGGAUCUGGUAAUUCCAGGCUGAUUGUUAGAGUCUGUUUAGUGCCUGGAAUUCUUCUUUUUUUGUAUGAGGUUUAAAAUAAGUUAAAUUCCCUGAUUAUGUCCAAUAACACCUCGCCCCAUGUUGGAAAACACAAUAUGUUAAAGUGAAAACAUAUUAAUGGUAUUUGAAAUAACAUUUGUUUGCUUAAAUGAUAUAAGUGAUUAGCCUCUUGUUUGUCUCUAUCCCAGUCACAAAAGUUAUCAUUAUUCUUCUGAUUUUACAAUGUAAUAUCAAAUAUUUAGACUUACAGCAAAACUUCAUGUCUACUUGGAAGUCUAACCUGCAGUUCAGUGACACUUAAGUGUUUGUAAAAUCUGCAUUUAUUUCAUUGUAGGAGACCAAGGUUUGAACUCCUCUUUGACCUUGAAGCCUUGGGCAAGUCACAGUUUCUUGGCCUCAGAGGAAGGCAGAAGCAACCCUCAUCUGAACAAGCCUUUGCAGGGUAUGUUUACCUCAGGGUCACCAUAGAUCAGAAAUGAUUUGGAGGAAAACAACAAGAAGGAUGUUUCAAAUCAGGUGUAUGUGUGUAUGCACGCUAAUAUAGAUGUAGAAAGUAUGUAGGGAAUUUGCUGUGCUAAAAAUACUAUCAAGGAGAAUGCCCUGUAGAAAUAUUUAAAGAUAUUUUAAGGUGCUUCUUUGCCUUGUCAUCAAAUUUUGGGAUUUGAAGAAAGUAAUUUCUGUUUAAAAUAAAGAACUACAUUGUUCACAAAAA